RNAcentral lists this long non-coding RNA (858 nucleotides) under Theobroma cacao (cacao). RNAcentral describes it as "long non-coding RNA (TCAC_LNC001377)". Lineage: Eukaryota; Viridiplantae; Streptophyta; Magnoliopsida; Malvales; Malvaceae. The record is from RNAcentral.
AUGAAUGGCGGAGGUUGUUUGGGCACGACACUCCAAAUUUGCACAAUUCAGGUAUACGACUUCUUGUCAAACUGUUUCUUCCUCUGGUUGUGAAAAAAAUAGGAGCGUGUUGGAAAGGGUCCAUUCAAAGAGGAGGAAUAGGUAAUGAUGUUGUUUAUGUACUUCUCAAUAUCCGUUUGAAAAAUGGGUAUGUAGCUUUUAUCUUGUUAAUUUGUUAUGUCACUCUGUUUACUUAGUUCAUUAUGGAGACGACUCUGGAAUAUGAUAGUCAAAUUCAUUUAUUUUGUUUAAGUUUGUAGGGUUUACAGCAAGAAGACAACAUUCGAUCCUAUUGAGUGUGAGUGUAUUGAGAAGAUUGACUAUUAGAUUAUCGAGGAAAAUCCUUCAUCCCAACUGGGUGUGUAGAGUUGGACUCACCCUAGAGGAGCAAAAUGCUCAUACACUUGGAGGUUAGUAAAUGAAGAUGCAAUAUUAAACAAUCACCUCAUUUUUAUAUGUUUGAUUUUGGGGGAUGAUGCAAAGAUGGAGAGGAGGUUGAUGAUUUGUUAGAGGUUAAAGAAGGGAUGGAUCUUUCAUCCUUUGAUGUUGGACCUAGUGGUGCAAAUGACAAUAGUCAAAGAUUAAAACAUCUGCGUAAGAUGUUGAACCAAACCGAACUGAUCGAUUAAAUUGAUUCAACUGAAAAUUGCCUCCACCAGUUAUCUCUUCAGAAAAAUUGAAUUUAUGGUGUAGUUGCGUCUUGGUCGCCUGUUUUAAUUAGACUGCUUGGCUUUAUGUUUGAACUUCAUCGGCUUAAGUAAAUGCUAUAAUUGUAAGUAUUCUAGGGUCGGAUUGAAUACGUCCUUAUUCAAAGCGUGC